RNAcentral lists this ribosomal RNA (452 nucleotides) under Hymenobacter sp. R-40152. Its description in RNAcentral is "bacterial SSU rRNA". It matches the Rfam family "Bacterial small subunit ribosomal RNA", at positions 21 to 478 of the family's 1533-position model. Lineage: Bacteria; Pseudomonadati; Bacteroidota; Cytophagia; Cytophagales; Hymenobacteraceae. The record is from RNAcentral.
GGCUCAGGAUGAACGCUAGCGGCAGGCCUAAUACAUGCAAGUCGAACGGUUUGUAGCAAUACAGAUAGUGGCGCACGGGUGCGUAACGCGUAACCAACCUACCUGAAUCUGGGGGAUAGCCCGCCGAAAGGCGGAUUAAUACCGCAUAAAACCACAGAACGGCAUCGUUUAAUGGUUAAAGAUUUAUUGGAUUCAGAUGGGGUUGCGUGCCAUUAGCUAGUUGGGGAGGUAACGGCUCACCAAGGCGACGAUGGCUAGGGGAGCUGAGAGGCUGGUCCCCCACACGGGCACUGAGAUACGGGCCCGACUCCUACGGGAGGCAGCAGUAGGGAAUAUUGGGCAAUGGCCGAGAGGCUGACCCAGCCAUGCCGCGUGCAGGAUGAAGGCUUUCUGAGUCGUAAACUGCUUUUGCCAGGGAAGAAAAAAAGGUAUGCGUACUUUACUGACGGUAC